RNAcentral lists this ribosomal RNA (1345 nucleotides) under uncultured bacterium. RNAcentral's name for it is "partial 16S ribosomal RNA". It matches the Rfam family "Bacterial small subunit ribosomal RNA", at positions 28 to 1381 of the family's 1533-position model. The record is from RNAcentral.
GACGAACGCUUGCGGCGUGCUUAACACAUGCAAGUCGAACGGAAAGGCCCUGCUUUUGUGGGGUGCUCGAGUGGCGAACGGGUGAGUAACACGUGAGUAACCUGCCCUUGACUUUGGGAUAACUUCAGGAAACUGGGGCUAAUACCGGAUAGGAGCUCCUGCUGCAUGGUGGGGGUUGGAAAGUUUCGGCGGUUGGGGAUGGACUCGCGGCUUAUCAGCUUGUUGGUGGGGUAGUGGCUUACCAAGGCUUUGACGGGUAGCCGGCCUGAGAGGGUGACCGGCCACAUUGGGACUGAGAUACGGCCCAGACUCCUACGGGAGGCAGCAGUGGGGAAUAUUGCACAAUGGGCGGAAGCCUGAUGCAGCAACGCCGCGUGCGGGAUGACGGCCUUCGGGUUGUAAACCGCUUUCGCCUGUGACGAAGCGUGAGUGACGGUAAUGGGUAAAGAAGCACCGGCUAACUACGUGCCAGCAGCCGCGGUGAUACGUAGGGUGCGAGCGUUGUCCGGAUUUAUUGGGCGUAAGGGCUUGUAGGUGGUUGAUCGCGUCGGAAGUGUAAUCUUGGGGCUUAACCCUGAGCGUGCUUUCGAUACGGGUUGACUUGAGGAAGGUAGGGGAGAAUGGAAUUCCUGGUGGAGCGGUGGAAUGCGCAGAUAUCAGGAGGAACACCAGUGGCGAAGGCGGUUCUCUGGGCCUUUCCUGACGCUGAGGAGCGAAAGCGUGGGGAGCGAACAGGCUUAGAUACCCUGGUAGUCCACGCUGUAAACGGUGGGUACUAGGUGUGGGGUCCAUUCCACGGGUUCCGUGCCGUAGCUAACGCUUUAAGUACCCCGCCUGGGGAGUACGGCCGCAAGGCUAAAACUCAAAGGAAUUGACGGGGCCCCGCACAAGCGGCGGAGCAUGCGGAUUAAUUCGAUGCAACGCGUAGAACCUUACCUGGGUUUGACAUGGAUCGGGAGUGCUCAGAGAUGGGUGUGCCUCUUUUGGGGUCGGUUCACAGGUGGUGCAUGGCUGUCGUCAGCUCGUGUCGUGAGACGUUGGGUUAAGUCCCGCAACGAGCGCAACCCUUGUUCACUGUUGCCAGCACGUUAUGGUGGGGACUCAGUGGAGACCGCCGGGGUCAACUCGGAGGAAGGUGGGGAUGACGUCAAGUCAUCAUGCCCCUUAUGUCCAGGGCUUCACGCAUGCUACAAUGGCUGGUACAGAGAGUGGCGAGCCUGUGAGGGUGAGCGAAUCUCGGAAAGCCGGUCUCAGUUCGGAUUGGGGUCUGCAACUCGACCUCAUGAAGUCGGAGUCGCUAGUAAUCGCAGAUCAGCAACGCUGCGGUGAAUACGUUCCCGGGGCU